RNAcentral lists this ribosomal RNA (2333 nucleotides) under Salmonella enterica subsp. enterica serovar Chester. Its description in RNAcentral is "partial 23S ribosomal RNA". It matches the Rfam family "Bacterial large subunit ribosomal RNA", at positions 488 to 2802 of the family's 2925-position model. The record is from RNAcentral. Lineage: Bacteria; Pseudomonadati; Pseudomonadota; Gammaproteobacteria; Enterobacterales; Enterobacteriaceae.
UAGUGAACCAGUACCGUGAGGGAAAGGCGAAAAGAACCCCGGCGAGGGGAGUGAAAAAGAACCUGAAACCGUGUACGUACAAGCAGUGGGAGCACAGGUUUACCUGUGUGACUGCGUACCUUUUGUAUAAUGGGUCAGCGACUUAUAUUCUGUAGCAAGGUUAACCGAAUAGGGGAGCCGGAGGGAAACCGAGUCUUAAUUGGGCGUUAAGUUGCAGGGUAUAGACCCGAAACCCGGUGAUCUAGCCAUGGGCAGGUUGAAGGUUGGGUAACACUAACUGGAGGACCGAACCGACUAAUGUUGAAAAAUUAGCGGAUGACCUGUGGCUGGGGGUGAAAGGCCAAUCAAACCGGGAGAUAGCUGGUUCUCCCCGAAAGCUAUUUAGGUAGCGCCUCGUGAAUUCAUCUCCGGGGGUAGAGCACUGUUUCGGCUAGGGGGCCAUCCCGGCUUACCAACCCGAUGCAAACUGCGAAUACCGGAGAAUGUUAUCACGGGAGACACACGGCGGGUGCUAACGUCCGUCGUGAAGAGGGAAACAACCCAGACCGCCAGCUAAGGUCCCAAAGUCAUGGUUAAGUGGGAAACGAUGUGGGAAGGCCCAGACAGCCAGGAUGUUGGCUUAGAAGCAGCCAUCAUUUAAAGAAAGCGUAAUAGCUCACUGGUCGAGUCGGCCUGCGCGGAAGAUGUAACGGGGCUAAACCAUGCACCGAAGCUGCGGCAGCGACGCUGAUGCGUUGUUGGGUAGGGGAGCGUUCUGUAAGCCUGCGAAGGUGGCCUGUGAGGGUUGCUGGAGGUAUCAGAAGUGCGAAUGCUGACAUAAGUAACGAUAAAGCGGGUGAAAAGCCCGCUCGCCGGAAGACCAAGGGUUCCUGUCCAACGUUAAUCGGGGCAGGGUGAGUCGACCCCUAAGGCGAGGCCGAAAGGCGUAGUCGAUGGGAAACGGGUUAAUAUUCCCGUACUUGGUGUUACUGCGAAGGGGGGACGGAGAAGGCUAUGUUGGCCGGGCGACGGUUGUCCCGGUUUAAGCGUGUAGGUGUGUGUUCCAGGUAAAUCCGGUUCACUUUAACACUGAGGCGUGAUGACGAGGCACUACGGUGCUGAAGCAACAAAUGCCCUGCUUCCAGGAAAAGCCUCUAAGCAUCAGGUAACAUCAAAUCGUACCCCAAACCGACACAGGUGGUCAGGUAGAGAAUACCAAGGCGCUUGAGAGAACUCGGGUGAAGGAACUAGGCAAAAUGGUGCCGUAACUUCGGGAGAAGGCACGCUGACACGUAGGUGAAGUGAUUUACUCAUGGAGCUGAAGUCAGUCGAAGAUACCAGCUGGCUGCAACUGUUUAUUAAAAACACAGCACUGUGCAAACACGAAAGUGGACGUAUACGGUGUGACGCCUGCCCGGUGCCGGAAGGUUAAUUGAUGGGGUCAGCGCAAGCGAAGCUCCUGAUCGAAGCCCCGGUAAACGGCGGCCGUAACUAUAACGGUCCUAAGGUAGCGAAAUUCCUUGUCGGGUAAGUUCCGACCUGCACGAAUGGCGUAAUGAUGGCCAGGCUGUCUCCACCCGAGACUCAGUGAAAUUGAACUCGCUGUGAAGAUGCAGUGUACCCGCGGCAAGACGGAAAGACCCCGUGAACCUUUACUAUAGCUUGACACUGAACAUUGAGCCUUGAUGUGUAGGAUAGGUGGGAGGCUUUGAAGUGUGGACGCCAGUCUGCAUGGAGCCGACCUUGAAAUACCACCCUUUAAUGUUUGAUGUUCUAACGUGGACCCGUGAUCCGGGUUGCGGACAGUGUCUGGUGGGUAGUUUGACUGGGGCGGUCUCCUCCUAAAGAGUAACGGAGGAGCACGAAGGUUGGCUAAUCCUGGUCGGACAUCAGGAGGUUAGUGCAAUGGCAUAAGCCAGCUUGACUGCGAGCGUGACGGCGCGAGCAGGUGCGAAAGCAGGUCAUAGUGAUCCGGUGGUUCUGAAUGGAAGGGCCAUCGCUCAACGGAUAAAAGGUACUCCGGGGAUAACAGGCUGAUACCGCCCAAGAGUUCAUAUCGACGGCGGUGUUUGGCACCUCGAUGUCGGCUCAUCACAUCCUGGGGCUGAAGUAGGUCCCAAGGGUAUGGCUGUUCGCCAUUUAAAGUGGUACGCGAGCUGGGUUUAGAACGUCGUGAGACAGUUCGGUCCCUAUCUGCCGUGGGCGCUGGAGAACUGAGGGGGGCUGCUCCUAGUACGAGAGGACCGGAGUGGACGCAUCACUGGUGUUCGGGUUGUCAUGCCAAUGGCACUGCCCGGUAGCUAAAUGCGGAAGAGAUAAGUGCUGAAAGCAUCUAAGCACGAAACUUGCCCCGA